ACGUUGACCUCCUAUCUAGCAAUAACUUAAGAAAUAGAUAUGGUGGACAGUUUGAGUUGUAGAAAAAUUAAGGUAAAUCAUGUUUUAUGUUCCCUUGUAUGUGAAGGUUUCAGAGUGAAAUGGAAGAGGGGAAGAACCGUCACUUGGCCGAACUGGCUUGGGAUGUGAAACGACGCCUCAGGCUUAAGGAGCUGGAAAGAGAAGUGUGCAGGGAGCUGCGCCUGGAGCGCCGAAUCCGCUGGUCGGUGAUUGGACAGCCUGGUAGCCAGAUGGGAGAUUGGAGACCCCUGGGCAUGGAGACACACACACCUCUGGGAAUGGACUCUCCCCUCAGACACUCCACCUCCUCGAUGGACACUCUUUCCAGUCAGAUCUCGACUGAGAACCUCGAGGUUGCUAGGCUACAUAUUGCCAGACCACAUAUUGCCAGACCACAAACUACCAGACCACGUUCUGCCAGACCACCAACUGAAAGAUCUAGCAGUGACUCUGAUCACUCUGGAACCUUGUCUACUGUGAUGACCUGCUCACCACAUUCAGCUAGCCCGUCAGUGGUAGGUCACUUUGGUCAUGAACAUGUUCCCAGCUUUCACUCUUUGGGGGCUGUAGGCAUAUUACUGCUUCCUUGUCUCCCAUCUCCUGGGAAAUCCAUAUCCAAGUACAGUGGCAAGAAAAAGUAUGUGAACCCUUUGGAAUUACCUGGACAUAAAAUGUUGUCUAAGUCACAACAAUAGACAAACCCAGUCUGCUUAAACUAAUAACACACCAACAAUGAUACUUUUUCAUGUCUUUAUUGAACACACCGUGUAAACAUUCACAG
Oncorhynchus nerka (sockeye salmon) is the source of this 820-nucleotide long non-coding RNA. RefSeq lists it as uncharacterized. The record is from RefSeq and is a predicted model, not a curated record. The transcript has 2 exons. Lineage: Eukaryota; Metazoa; Chordata; Actinopteri; Salmoniformes; Salmonidae.